GACGAACGCUGGCGGCGUGCCUAAUACAUGCAAGUUGAGCGCUGAAGGUUGGUACUUGUACCAACUGGAUGAGCAGCGAACGGGUGAGUAACGCGUGGGGAAUCUGCCUUUGAGCGGGGGACAACAUUUGGAAACGAAUGCUAAUACCGCAUAAAAACUUUAAACACAAGUUUUAAGUUUGAAAGAUGCAAUUGCAUCACUCAAAGAUGAUCCCGCGUUGUAUUAGCUAGUUGGUGAGGUAAAGGCUCACCAAGGCGAUGAUACAUAGCCGACCUGAGAGGGUGAUCGGCCACAUUGGGACUGAGACACGGCCCAAGCUCCUACGGGAGGCAGCAGUAGGGAAUCUUCGGCAAUGGACGAAAGUCUGACCGAGCAACGCCGCGUGAGUGAAGAAGGUUUUCGGAUCGUAAAACUCUGUUGGUAGAGAAGAACGUUGGUGAGAGUGGAAAGCUCAUCAAGUGACGGUAACUACCCAGAAAGGGACGGCUAACUACGUG
RNAcentral lists this ribosomal RNA (497 nucleotides) under uncultured bacterium. Its description in RNAcentral is "partial 16S ribosomal RNA". It matches the Rfam family "Bacterial small subunit ribosomal RNA", at positions 28 to 507 of the family's 1533-position model. The record is from RNAcentral.